GGGUUGUGAGGUUAAGCGACUAAGCGUACACGGUGGAUGCCCUGGCAGUCAGAGGCGAUGAAGGACGUGCUAAUCUGCGAUAAGCGUCGGUGAGGUGAUAUGAACCGUUAUAACCGGCGAUUUCCGAAUGGGGAAACCCAGUGUGUUUCGACACACUAUCAUUAACUGAAUCCAUAGGUUAAUGAGGCGAACCGGGGGAACUGAAACAUCUAAGUACCCCGAGGAAAAGAAAUCAACCGAGAUUCCCCCAGUAGCGGCGAGCGAACGGGGAGGAGCCCAGAGCCUGAAUCAGUGUGUGUGUUAGUGGAAGCGUCUGGAAAGGCGCGCGAUACAGGGUGACAGCCCCGUACACAAAAAUGCACAUAUUGUGAGCUCGAUGAGUAGGGCGGGACACGUGGUAUCCUGUCUGAAUAUGGGGGGACCAUCCUCCAAGGCUAAAUACUCCUGACUGACCGAUAGUGAACCAGUACCGUGAGGGAAAGGCGAAAAGAACCCCGGCGAGGGGAGUGAAAAAGAACCUGAAACCGUGUACGUACAAGCAGUGGGAGCCUCUUAAUGGGGUGACUGCGUACCUUUUGUAUAAUGGGUCAGCGACUUAUAUUCUGUAGCAAGGUUAACCGAAUAGGGGAGCCGAAGGGAAACCGAGUCUUAACUGGGCGUUAAGUUGCAGGGUAUAGACCCGAAACCCGGUGAUCUAGCCAUGGGCAGGUUGAAGGUUGGGUAACACUAACUGGAGGACCGAACCGACUAAUGUUGAAAAAUUAGCGGAUGACUUGUGGCUGGGGGUGAAAGGCCAAUCAAACCGGGAGAUAGCUGGUUCUCCCCGAAAGCUAUUUAGGUAGCGCCUCGUGAAUUCAUCUCCGGGGGUAGAGCACUGUUUCGGCAAGGGGGUCAUCCCGACUUACCAACCCGAUGCAAACUGCGAAUACCGGAGAAUGUUAUCACGGGAGACACACGGCGGGUGCUAACGUCCGUCGUGAAGAGGGAAACAACCCAGACCGCCAGCUAAGGUCCCAAAGUCAUGGUUAAGUGGGAAACGAUGUGGGAAGGCCCAGACAGCCAGGAUGUUGGCUUAGAAGCAGCCAUCAUUUAAAGAAAGCGUAAUAGCUCACUGGUCGAGUCGGCCUGCGCGGAAGAUGUAACGGGGCUAAACCAUGCACCGAAGCUGCGGCAGCGACACUAUGUGUUGUUGGGUAGGGGAGCGUUCUGUAAGCCUGUGAAGGUGGCCUGUGAGGGUUGCUGGAGGUAUCAGAAGUGCGAAUGCUGACAUAAGUAACGAUAAAGCGGGUGAAAAGCCCGCUCGCCGGAAGACCAAGGGUUCCUGUCCAACGUUAAUCGGGGCAGGGUGAGUCGACCCCUAAGGCGAGGCCGAAAGGCGUAGUCGAUGGGAAACAGGUUAAUAUUCCUGUACUUGGUGUUACUGCGAAGGGGGGACGGAGAAGGCUAUGUUGGCCGGGCGACGGUUGUCCCGGUUUAAGCGUGUAGGCUGGUUUUCCAGGCAAAUCCGGAAAAUCAAGGCUGAGGCGUGAUGACGAGGCACUACGGUGCUGAAGCGACAAAUGCCCUGCUUCCAGGAAAAGCCUCUAAGCAUCAGGUAACAUCAAAUCGUACCCCAAACCGACACAGGUGGUCAGGUAGAGAAUACCAAGGCGCUUGAGAGAACUCGGGUGAAGGAACUAGGCAAAAUGGUGCCGUAACUUCGGGAGAAGGCACGCUGAUAUGUAGGUGAAGCGACUUGCUCGUGGAGCUGAAAUCAGUCGAAGAUACCAGCUGGCUGCAACUGUUUAUUAAAAACACAGCACUGUGCAAACACGAAAGUGGACGUAUACGGUGUGACGCCUGCCCGGUGCCGGAAGGUUAAUUGAUGGGGUUAGCGGUAACGCGAAGCUCUUGAUCGAAGCCCCGGUAAACGGCGGCCGUAACUAUAACGGUCCUAAGGUAGCGAAAUUCCUUGUCGGGUAAGUUCCGACCUGCACGAAUGGCGUAAUGAUGGCCAGGCUGUCUCCACCCGAGACUCAGUGAAAUUGAACUCGCUGUGAAGAUGCAGUGUACCCGCGGCAAGACGGAAAGACCCCGUGAACCUUUACUAUAGCUUGACACUGAACAUUGAGCCUUGAUGUGUAGGAUAGGUGGGAGGCUUUGAAGUGUGGACGCCAGUCUGCAUGGAGCCGAC
RNAcentral lists this ribosomal RNA (2173 nucleotides) under Escherichia coli. Its description in RNAcentral is "partial 23S ribosomal RNA". It matches the Rfam family "Bacterial large subunit ribosomal RNA", at positions 1 to 2190 of the family's 2925-position model. The record is from RNAcentral. Lineage: Bacteria; Pseudomonadati; Pseudomonadota; Gammaproteobacteria; Enterobacterales; Enterobacteriaceae.